This 497-nucleotide ribosomal RNA is filed under the name uncultured bacterium. Its description in RNAcentral is "partial 16S ribosomal RNA". It matches the Rfam family "Bacterial small subunit ribosomal RNA", at positions 28 to 507 of the family's 1533-position model. The record is from RNAcentral.
GAUGAACGCUGGCGGCGUGCCUAAUACAUGCAAGUCGAGCGAACGGACGAGAAGCUUGCUUCUCUAAUGUUAGCGGCGGACGGGUGAGUAACACGUGGAUAACCUACCUAUAAGACUGGGAUAACUUCGGGGAACCGUAGCUAAUACCGGAUAAUAUUUUGAACCGCAUGGUUCAAAAGUGAAAGACGGUCUUGCUGUCACUUAUAGAUGGAUCCGCGCUGCAUUAGCUAGUUGGUAAGGUAACGGCUUACCAAGGCAACGAUGCAUAGCCGACCUGAGAGGGUGAUCGGCCACACUGGAACUGAGACACGGUCCAGACUCCUACGGGAGGCAGCAGUAGGGAAUCUUCCGCAAUGGGCGAAAGCCUGACGGAGCAACGCCGCGUGAGUGAUGAAGGUCUUCGGAUCGUAAAACUCUGUUAUUAGGGAAGAACAUAUGUGUAAGUAACUGUGCACAUCUUGACGGUACCUAAUCAGAAAGCCACGGCUAACUACGUG